UACUCCCUCUGUCCGGAAAAAAGACAAACUCUAGGUUUCCGUAUCUAAUGUUUGACUAUCCGUCUUAUAUGAAAUUUUUUAUAAUUAGUAUUUUUAUUGUUGUUAGAUGAUAAACCAUGAUUAAAACUUUAUGCGUGACUUGUCAUUUUAAUUUUUUUAAAUAAGACGGACGGUCAAACGUUGGACACGGAAACCCCAGGGUUUGUCCCUUUUUUUUUUUGGACCGAUGGAGUAGGUGAG
Molecule: microRNA precursor, 240 nt
Filed under: Oryza sativa (Asian cultivated rice)
Lineage: Eukaryota; Viridiplantae; Streptophyta; Magnoliopsida; Poales; Poaceae
Description: partial microRNA MIR438t-4 precursor
Rfam family: MIR812 microRNA precursor family (bases 18-202)
Source: RNAcentral